Camellia sinensis is the source of this 488-nucleotide non-coding RNA. Lineage: Eukaryota; Viridiplantae; Streptophyta; Magnoliopsida; Ericales; Theaceae. The record is from RefSeq and is a predicted model, not a curated record.
GGAAGAUUUGAAAACCGUGGCAUAGGGUACAUCAAAGAUCAACUAUCUUGAUUCUAGGAUCACAGUUGCUUGGUGCAAGCGACAUGAAGUUCCAAUUGAGAAGAUUUUCAACAAGUCUCUUCUGGCAAAGUUUGCUUGGGCAAUGGAUGUCAUUCCCAGCUUCAGAUUCUGAGGUCUUAGUUUAGCACAGGACACUUCUACCCUCGUCUACCCGGUACCCCGCUCUGCUCGUUAUCUGUCUCACUUGAAAAUUAUUCACAAAUUUUAUUUAUUUUUACUUUUUUUAAUUUAACUCUUCCAGCAAGGAGUACAUGUUGUAUUCAGCAUACCCUUUCACUCUUCCCCCCUUCCCAUCUAUUAAUGGUGCUAACUGCUAAGAAGCUGUGACAUGAGUUGUCUAUUGAGACGUUUUAGAUGAAACAAAUAUGUAUUACUAACAUUUUCAGACAUUUUGAACAGUGAAAUCUCUUUGAUUUUUCAUUGUCUUA